RNAcentral lists this long non-coding RNA (944 nucleotides) under Gallus gallus (chicken). The record is from RNAcentral. Lineage: Eukaryota; Metazoa; Chordata; Aves; Galliformes; Phasianidae.
AUUUAUUCCUCUAUGUAGCUUUUUAAAAAACUGGCAAUGUAAGGUGGUUGUAUUUAGUUAUGUUCAUCUGGUCCUCAAAAAGAUGAAUUUCAGGUACAGAAGCUAGGAAAUGAACCCAGCACAAACUAGAUGUACCAUGUGUUUUACCUGUAGUAGAAUAGUUCACCUGGAAGGAACCCACAAUGAUCAGUGUGUCCAACUGCCUGACCACUGCACGGCUAACUGAAAGCUAAAGUGUGUUACUGAGGGCAUUAUCCAAAUGCCUCUUAUUUAAAUAAUUACCACAGUAAUUAAAAGUACCUGAUCUGAGUCCUACAACAAUCAGUUAACUAGAAGCUACUCCACAGCCUCUGGAAUUUCUCUGUCAUCCACAAUAAGAGUGUGAAUAAUUCCUUCCUUUUGUUUUCCACUACUGACAGCAUUAAUGUAACAGCUGUGAUCACCAACACUGAAGUGAGUUUCAGUCCCAUCUUCUACAAAUUCACCCGCUGUCUCCAUUUUUUCACCGUUGCACCACACAUCCAUAGUGUCCUUUUCCAGAACAACUCUAUAGUCUGUACCACCCAAGCUCAGUACCCAAGUAUUGGUUGUUUUUGACCUGUUCUCCAUAUAUUUCUUGAGGCUUUUUCCAUUGAUCUCCAAAGUAUACUCAUAUGCAAAGCCACUGACUGCAUCAAUGUUAAUAGUGGCUCUUGUUUUGGAUACUCCAACAGUGAAUGUUUCUUUACCCACUAAUUUAAACAUCCAUUCUUUUCGUAUUAUUUCCUUUCCGUCAACAUAGACAACACGUUUUCCUGAAGUGGUCCCGUGCUCAAACUCAAUUUUAUGAACACCAUCGCUUAAAGCUACUUCCCAAACAGCCACCAAAUCUGUCAUCUUCUCUAAGUGGCUGUACCGAGACCCGCCUGCCCCGCUCCGGCCGCGCGGGGCCCUCCUCCCCUCCG